GUACUGCUGAAGAGUCCCAAAAAAUAGGACGAAACAGCUGUCCAGCAC
This 48-nucleotide non-coding RNA is filed under the name Trichobilharzia regenti. The record is from RNAcentral. Lineage: Eukaryota; Metazoa; Platyhelminthes; Trematoda; Strigeidida; Schistosomatidae.